This 442-nucleotide ribosomal RNA is filed under the name uncultured Actinomycetes bacterium. Its description in RNAcentral is "bacterial SSU rRNA". It matches the Rfam family "Bacterial small subunit ribosomal RNA", at positions 934 to 1378 of the family's 1533-position model. Lineage: Bacteria; Bacillati; Actinomycetota; Actinomycetes. The record is from RNAcentral.
GGAGCAUGCGGCUUAAUUCGACGCAACGCGAAGAACCUUACCAAGGCUUGACAUAUACAGGAAUAUGGCAGAGAUGUCAUAGCCGCAAGGUCUGUAUACAGGUGGUGCAUGGUUGUCGUCAGCUCGUGUCGUGAGAUGUUGGGUUAAGUCCCGCAACGAGCGCAACCCUCGUUCUGUGUUGCCAGCAUUUAGUUGGGGACUCACAGGAGACUGCCGGGGUUAACUCGGAGGAAGGUGGGGAUGACGUCAAAUCAUCAUGCCCCUUAUGUCUUGGGCUGCACGCAUGCUACAAUGGCUGGUACAAACGGCUGCGAUACCGCAAGGUGGAGCGAAUCCGAUAAAGCCAGUCUCAGUUCGGAUUGGGGUCUGCAACUCGACCCCAUGAAGUCGGAGUUGCUAGUAAUCGUAGAUCAGCAACGCUACGGUGAAUACGUUCCCGGGG